RNAcentral lists this unclassified non-coding RNA (157 nucleotides) under uncultured Ascomycota. RNAcentral's name for it is "sequence contains ITS2". Lineage: Eukaryota; Fungi; Ascomycota. The record is from RNAcentral.
CAAAACCCUCAAACAUUCUUGUUUGGUGUUGGGAGAUCGCACUUACCCUGCGGCUCCUGGAAGACAGCGGCGGAAAAGCACUAGCUAGCAUCCCCCGCGUAGUAAUAUUGCUCGUGGAAGGGUAUAGUUAGGGCCCGUCUCAACCUUUUAUUAUUAA